Molecule: small RNA, 184 nt
Filed under: Arabidopsis thaliana (thale cress)
Lineage: Eukaryota; Viridiplantae; Streptophyta; Magnoliopsida; Brassicales; Brassicaceae
Description: ATSL263140
Source: RNAcentral
UUUACAAAAAUAUUAUCGACUACUUUGAUUUUUCCAUAAAAUAUUUUCAAUAUUGUCUCUUAUUUGCGUCAUAUGUUCUCCAUCUGCUAACUAUGCUGCAUCCAUGUCGCUUACAUCAUGCUCAAAAUCUCGGUUGUUUAUAUUUGUUUCUGUCAUUACAUCUACAAAAUCUGAAUCCAAAAAA